UACGGAGGGUGCAAGCGUUAUCCGGAUUCACUGGGUUUAAAGGGUGCGUAGGUGGGCAGGUAAGUCAGUGGUGAAAUCUCUGGGCUUAACUCAGAAACUGCCAUUGAUACUAUCUGUCUUGAAUACCGUGGAGGUCAGCGGAAUAUGUCAUGUAGCGGUGAAAUGCUUAGAUAUGACAUAGAACACCAAUUGCGAAGGCAGCUGGCUACACGGAUAUUGACACUGAUGCACGAAAGCGUGGGGAUCAAACAGG
This 253-nucleotide ribosomal RNA is filed under the name uncultured bacterium. RNAcentral's name for it is "partial 16S ribosomal RNA". It matches the Rfam family "Bacterial small subunit ribosomal RNA", at positions 524 to 776 of the family's 1533-position model. The record is from RNAcentral.